Long non-coding RNA from Bos taurus (domestic cattle), 924 nucleotides. The record is from Ensembl. NCBI's taxonomy places the organism in Eukaryota, Metazoa, Chordata, Mammalia, Artiodactyla, Bovidae.
CGGCUCUGCCUCUGAGGGCCUCUGUGCCUGGCCCGUCUCUACAGCAAGCGGGGUCCAAGGGGAAUCUCACCCCCAUUCAGCCAGAAGACCCUCUGAGUCUGAGUCUGAGCUGGAGGCCCAGCCCUCCUUCCAUCUGGGAAGCUGCGGUGGGGGUCACCGGGAACCUCCCUCCCACGCACACCCUCUGCGGUUGCGGCCUCCCUGUCUCCCUGGUGCCCCGAGGGGCCAUGUGCCCUCGGGGAUGACUACCGGGCCAUCAGCGAGAGCAAGCAGCUGCCGAGCACUAAACCCCGUUUCUGGCCGUGAAGAGCAGGUCCUCCGAAGAACCUGGGCAUCCGGGCACUGUUACCAGGACAAAGGCAUCGAUCUCGGCUGAGAGAACGCUGAGAUGUAUUGACAGAGAGGUUUGCAUCGAUCCAGCAGGAAGUAAGCGGUGUGUGGUCACCUGCCCGGGAAUGAGACCCACUCCGUACGAGAGACGAGGGGGCUACAGACGACGGGGAGGCUCGGGGCUCCGAGGCUGCAGGACCCCCGGCCUGGGGUCACCGAGACAGCCUCCUUCCCCAGGAUGAGCAGAGCGGCUGCAGAGUGGUGGGGAGAGGCCGCCCACGGAGGGGUGGGCGUGGACACGGCAUGGCCCUGCCUGGCCCACCCACAGGGAGACACGCGGUGGAGCCCCCGGGGGUCUCCCAGGACCAGCUCCUCCCACCCCGACCUCAGGGGAAGAGCUGUGGUCAUGGAAACCGCUCCAUCGUCUGAAUUUCAGAGCUGGGAAUAUUUGAGUCAAUCAAGAAAUUCAAUUAGCGGAGUGACAUGUUGUCACGCGUGGCUCUGCCGCCCCGCUUCCCAUUUUCCGGGAGAUAAUUGGUGUAUUUGCGACAAAACUGCAAUUCAAUAUUUAUCGGCUGCUGCUUUUCAAUAAAG